Molecule: ribosomal RNA, 507 nt
Filed under: uncultured bacterium
Lineage: Bacteria
Description: bacterial SSU rRNA
Rfam family: Bacterial small subunit ribosomal RNA
Source: RNAcentral
CUACCCUUGACAUGUCCGAGAGCCCGGUGAGAGCCGGGUGUGCCCGAAAGGGAAUCGGAACACAGGUGCUGCAUGGCUGUCGUCAGCUCGUGUCGUGAGAUGUUGGGUUAAGUCCCGCAACGAGCGCAACCCUUGUCAUUAGUUGCUACAUUCAGUUGGGCACUCUAAUGAGACUGCCGGUGACAAACCGGAGGAAGGUGGGGAUGACGUCAAGUCCUCAUGGCCCUUAUGGGUAGGGCUUCACACGUAAUACAAUGGCGCGUACAGAGGGUUGCCAAGGGGUGACCUGGAGCCAAUCCCGCAAAGCGCGUCGUAGUCCGGAUUGCAGUCUGCAACUCGACUGCAUGAAGUCGGAAUCGCUAGUAAUCGCGGAUCAGCAUGUCGCGGUGAAUACGUUCCCGGGUCUUGUACACACCGCCCGUCACACCAUGGGAGUGGGUUUCACCAGAAGCCGGUCGCCUAACCGCAAGGAGGGCGCCGACCACGGUGAGAUUCAUGACUGGGGUG